RNAcentral lists this ribosomal RNA (835 nucleotides) under marine metagenome. RNAcentral describes it as "bacterial SSU rRNA". It matches the Rfam family "Bacterial small subunit ribosomal RNA", at positions 496 to 1330 of the family's 1533-position model. The record is from RNAcentral.
GCUAACUUCGUGCCAGCAGCCGCGGUAAUACGAAGGGACCUAGCGUAAUUCGGAAUUACUGGGCGUAAAGCGCGCGUAGGCGGUUAAGUAAGUUAAUUGUGAAAGCCCAAAGCUCAACUUUGGAAUUGCAAUUAAAACUACUUAGCUAGAGUUUAUCAGAGGAAAGCGGAAUACAUAGUGUAGAGGUGAAAUUCGUAGAUAUUAUGUAGAACACCAGUUGCGAAGGCGGCUUUCUGGGGUAACACUGACGCUGAGGUGCGAAAGUAUGGGUAGCGAAGAGGAUUAGAUACCCUCGUAGUCCAUACUGUAAACGAUGAUUGUUAGAUGUUGGAAAUUUAUUUUCAGUAUCACAGCUAACGCGUUAAACAAUCCGCCUGGGGAGUACGACCGCAAGGUUAAAACUCAAAUGAAUUGACGGGGACCCGCACAAGCGGUGGAGCAUGUGGUUUAAUUCGAAGCUACGCGCAGAACCUUACCAACACUUGACAUGUCUGUCGCGGAAUCCAGAGAUGGAUUCUUUCGGUUCGGCCGGACAGAACACAGGUGCUGCAUGGCUGUCGUCAGCUCGUGUCGUGAGAUGUUGGGUUAAGUCCCGCAACGAGCGCAACCCCUACUUCUAGUUGCCAUCAGGUUAAGCUGGGCACUCUAGUAGGACUGCCUGUGAUAAGCAGGAGGAAGGUUGGGAUGACGUCAAGUCCUCAUGGCCCUUACGUGUUGGGCUACACACGUGCUACAAUGGCAGUGACAAUGAGAUGCUAAACGGCAACGUUAAGCUAAACUCAAAAACCUGCCUCAGUUCGGAUUGCACUCUGCAACUCGAGUGCAUGAAGCUGGA